RNAcentral lists this transfer RNA (74 nucleotides) under Acidobacteriota bacterium. Its description in RNAcentral is "tRNA-Ile". It matches the Rfam family "tRNA". Rfam says of the family: Transfer RNA (tRNA) molecules are approximately 80 nucleotides in length. Lineage: Bacteria; Pseudomonadati; Acidobacteriota. RNAcentral also lists the same sequence under 3 other names. The record is from RNAcentral.
GGGCCCAUAGCUCAGUUGGUUAGAGCAUCUGACUCAUAAUCAGACGGUCGUAGGUUCGAGUCCUACUGGGCCCA